RNAcentral lists this ribosomal RNA (485 nucleotides) under uncultured bacterium. RNAcentral describes it as "partial 16S ribosomal RNA". The record is from RNAcentral.
GUAGUUAGCCGGGGCUUCCUCCUUGGCUACCGUCACUUUCUUCGUCACCAAGGACAGAGGUUUACAAUCCGAAGACCUUCUUCCCUCACGCGGCGUUGCUGGGUCAGGCUUUCGCCCAUUGCCCAAUAUUCCCCACUGCUGCCUCCCGUAGGAGUCUGGACCGUGUCUCAGUUCCAGUGUGGCCGAUCAGCCUCUCAGCUCGGCUACCCAUCGUUGGCUAGGUGGGCCGUUACCCCGCAACUAUCUAAUGGGACGCGAACCCCUCCUGAAGCGGAUUGCUCCUUUGACCUCAUCCCGAUGUCGGGUCGUGGUCUUAUGCGGUAUUAGCAACCGUUUCCGAUUGUUAUCCCCCUCUUCAGGGCAGGUUGUUCACGCGUUACUCACCCGUUCGCCACUAAAGUAUCAACCGAAAUCAAUACUUCCGUUCGACUUGCAUGUGUUAGGCACGCCGCCAGCGUUCGUCCUGAGCCAGAAUCGAACCCUGA